Molecule: ribosomal RNA, 649 nt
Filed under: uncultured bacterium
Lineage: Bacteria
Description: bacterial SSU rRNA
Rfam family: Bacterial small subunit ribosomal RNA
Source: RNAcentral
GGCGGACGGGUGAGUAACGCGUGAGAAUCUGCCUUCAGGUUCGGGACAACCACUGGAAACGGUGGCUAAUACCGAAUAUGCCCAAGGGUGAAAGAUUAAUUGCCUGGAGAUGAGCUCGCGUCUGAUUAGCUAGUUGGUAGGGUAAGGGCCUACCAAGGCACCGAUCAGUAACUGGUCUGAGAGGAUGACCAGUCACACUGGGACUGAGACACGGCCCAGACUCCUACGGGAGGCAGCAGUGGGGAAUUUUCCGCAAUGGGCGAAAGCCUGACGGAGCAAUACCGCGUGAGGGAGGAAGGCUCUUGGGUUGUAAACCUCUUUUCUCAGGGAAGAAACCUGACGGUACCUGAGGAAUAAGCAUCGGCUAACUCCGUGCCAGCAGCCGCGGUAAUACGGAGGAUGCAAGCGUUAUCCGGAAUGAUUGGGCGUAAAGCGUCCGCAGGUGGCAUUUCAAGUCUGCUGUUAAAUACUGGGGCUUAACCCUGGAAAGGCGGUGGAAACUGAGAAGCUAGAGUGCGGUGGGGGCAGAGGGAAUUCCUGGUGUAGCGGUGAAAUGCGUAGAGCUCAGGAAGAACACCGGUGGCGAAAGCGCUCUGCUAGGCCGUAACUGACACUCAUGGACGAAAGCUAGGGGAGCGAAUGGGAUUAG